GUAUCUAUUAAUUUUUUUUUCCGGGAUCGAUCAAAACAAAGCUAAGAUCCCGACGACAUGUUCUUCUGAUUCCCAAUCAAAACUAAGAAAAUGAGUGCAGAUCGUAAGGGAAAAACGGUAAAUAUAAAGCUUAUGUUUUUGCGAAUCUUUAGGUUUUGUUUUAUUUCUAUAAAGCUUCUGUUAUAGAAGUUCUUUAGGUUUUGAUAAAUUUCUUAGAUAUUGAUUGUUGGCGAUCUACAUCAUGUAGAACGGGAGCACGGGUGAAGCUAAGAAACUUACUAUAGAAGAUCUGUUUAUAAAAACAUGUCUUAACACACUGGCUUCGGAGGAAAAUAUAUACAGAGAACAUCGAAGAAGGUUUGAGAUCGUCAGAGUGUACAUGUGUUUGCAAAUUCAGCUCUUGGCGGGCCUUGAAGAAUCUGUCAUUGGUAGAAGGAUUGUUCAUUCGUGAGCAAAAUAAAAAUGUUUCUGAUUUUCGUUAAUUGUUUAUUUAGUUUCUUUGUGUGUAUAUUAAUUGGAAUUGGCAUAACAGCUUCUGUAUAAUUCCUGCAAACAUAGAAGAAGUUUAUUGGAGCUAUAAUGGAGUUGGUAGAUUGGGAAGUUCUAUCAAAGGAGUGUGAUGAGGUUGCUUUUACAGAGAAUCGUCUCUUUGGCAAGGCAGUGGAGCAGGAAGAAAGUGAUAUUCGUGAUCAGAGCCCAACUAAGUUGAGAAGAAGUAAGUAGGGGUGGUUUUUAAUUUCUGUAUUUACUUAUUUAUCAAAGUUGCAGAGAUUACUAUAUUGUAUACUUUUCUAGUGUGUUGAGCUGUUGUUUUUUUUUGUUUAUAAUGAAAACAUGUUGGUGAAGGAACGACCAGAAGCUAUGAAGAAAGAAGUUUCUCUCCCACGUUGAGCAAGCGCAUCCAAACAACAACUCACGGUUAGUAACUAUGAUCUUAACUCAGAUGAAAGCAAUGUAGUAGCAUGUAGAUUUAGGAAUAAGAUUGAACCAUUGCCUUAGAUAGUAUUAUAUGGCUUUAGGAUUGAUUGAAUAACGAUGCAUAUAUGGGUUCUUGUGAAUGAAUGUGUUAUAAAUAACAAAGACGUUCAAAAAUAUUUCACUUAAGUAUCUAUACUAUUAAAGCAGGAUUCUGCCCUUGCCUUUGGAAAAAAUUACAAAGCUAUGUCAUUCUUUAAUUUUAGUUUUACAUAAUUAAUUAAUAUUACCUAAUGUUACUGUUUAUGUUAUUAGAGAAUAUUCUGAAAUACAGAAAAGUAAGAUUUAGACUCCAACAAUAAACGUUUAAUGAAUACAUUAACUAUACAAAAUAUUAUUCAGAAAUAAUCCACCUCUACCAAAUCGUUAGUUUAAAGUUUAAACUACCAACCCAAUAUUAAAAUAACCCGUAAUCAUGUUGAUAAGUUGAGCUAAUGUGCUGCCAAAAAAAAAAAAAAAGUUGAGCUAAUGUGGACGACCAAUCAAUAAGUGUAUUUUUAAUAAUGAUAAUAAGUGCAUUUUAUAUACAACUAGGAUCGGCCCGGGCUACGCCCGGGUUUUUUGUUUGAAUUUUAAUUUUAAUUAUAUAUUUAGUAUGUUUAUUUUAAUAUAUAAAUAUUAUAAUCUAUUACACAAAUAUAAGUAGCUCGAUAAUUAAAAAAUAAUUUUAAAUUAUUCAUUGUUUUUUUUCUUAUGCAAAUCCAAAUUUUGUAUUCAAUUUUUUAUUGAAAAUUAUAUAUAAAAUGAUGAGUAGAAUGAAAAAAAAAUAAUUAAAUUUUAGUUAUGGUGUUUAAUUGGCUGAAUUGUAGACAUGUUUCAUUUAUAACUUUUUUUUUCAAUUUGUCUCUGAGUAAUUUAAUGGACCCUCUUCUUAAAUCUACAAUAUAUAUUUUUGUGAUUUUUUUCUUAUAUCAUAUGUUUAAAAUUUUUAAUAUUAUCUUGAUCAAAAAACUUACAACUACUUAAAAAUUAUAGACUAAAUUCUUACAAUAAAUUUUUUCCAUUUACAACGCACUUAAUUAGACUCGUUAUCUAAAUAUUAUUUAUCUUACUUAUAUAAGUUUUGUUAUAAAAUAUUGUUAAAUGUACAACUAAUUAAAUAUUAUUUUUCUCAGUUACUGCCUUAUGCUUUUCAGUUGUUCCAUUUGUUCAAAAGUCAAAAAGCAAAUCAUAUUUCUAGACAAAAAUAUGUCUGGUGGGUACCAAACGCAGCUUGGCUCAAGACUUGUCUCGAGGUUAGACUCACUGCCGAGACAGUAACGGAGGAGUAUUAUGAUAUAGAAAGAAACAAAUGAAAAGUUCCUAACUCAUGCCUGGACUUAGGUUCUAGUGAAAACGCAUGAUAUCAAAUGUGUAUAGCUCAUUCACAAACAAAUCCUAGGUGAGAUAUACUUUUACUUUGCUACUACUGAAGCAAAAAGUUCUUGUAUGAAAUUUGGUUGAAGAUGUAAAUAGAGCGCAUAAGGUACUUGUCUUUACUGCAUAGUGUUAGAGGAAUGUGUAUAAUAUUUAUUCUGAAGGCUAUUUUAAUUA
Brassica napus (rape) is the source of this 2508-nucleotide long non-coding RNA. RefSeq lists it as uncharacterized. The record is from RefSeq and is a predicted model, not a curated record. Lineage: Eukaryota; Viridiplantae; Streptophyta; Magnoliopsida; Brassicales; Brassicaceae. The transcript has 2 exons.